GUGAGCCUGACCAGUUUAUGCCCAUUUGCAGGGGCAAUCAUCAAAGCUAUCAAUUGUCCAGACUUGGAAUUAGGAUUCAAAAGUAUCUUGAAGGUGAUCCCAGAGAAAUCCUUAAAACUGACUGCUCUGAUGGCUUUAGCCAAGGCAAGAUUGAUCAUCAUCAUGAUGCGCUGUCCCUUUGCAUCCUUACUUAUUCCAGAGCCCUCCAGUUCUCAGUUUUGAGUCCCAGAUUGUAGGUUCUGAGUCGAGCCAAAAGUUUAUUCACAUCUUUUAUUGGAUAUCCAUAGUGCGGUAUGCCACUUUCAUGAACUUGGGA
This 316-nucleotide long non-coding RNA is filed under the name Androctonus crassicauda. Lineage: Eukaryota; Metazoa; Arthropoda; Arachnida; Scorpiones; Buthidae. The record is from RNAcentral.